CAGAACAAACCGGAAGAAGACGUGAGGGAGACGCGUAGAAAGUCACCAAGCUUCACUUUAACGUCUUAAAGUGUCACAUCGUUCAAAGGUCCAUUGAUCCUGAGAACACUGUGGUGGCCUUAAUAGAGGCUUCAAUGAUCCGAUCCCCUUCCAGGUAGUGAGUGCUUGUGCUUCUAUGAAAGCAGAAUCAUUCCCCUCCUUUAGCUUCAAGAGCAGUUGGGUCUGACACCCCCUGCUCCUCAACACCUGCAGAACUUCUUUAGCUUUCAAGUCCAUGAAGGAUUAAACGGCCACAAACCUGCCAAGAGGAGGAAGUCCACCCAAACUGACAAGCAGGACCAGGAGACAAUGAAUGAGGGGAAGAUGGACGGAGCCAAAUAGAGGACAAGAGGACAAUGAGCCUAAACAUACAGCCUGGGCUACAAUGGAAUAGUUCACAUCAAAGCAUUCAUGUUGUAAAACGCCCAAAGCCCAAACCUCAACCACACCGAUUGGUUCUUAAAUGAGAUGAACAGUCAAACGUUUGGACACGUUCACUCAUUCGAUUCAAUGAGAAAGUGUCCAAACCUUUGGACUGAAUUGGGCUACAAAAACAUCUGUGAUAA
Long non-coding RNA from Gasterosteus aculeatus aculeatus (three-spined stickleback), 605 nucleotides. Lineage: Eukaryota; Metazoa; Chordata; Actinopteri; Perciformes; Gasterosteidae. The record is from Ensembl.